Molecule: ribosomal RNA, 348 nt
Filed under: Triticum aestivum (bread wheat)
Lineage: Eukaryota; Viridiplantae; Streptophyta; Magnoliopsida; Poales; Poaceae
Description: partial small subunit ribosomal RNA
Source: RNAcentral
AUGUUGGUGAAUAAAAAUAUAGCUCCAAGUAAAUUACCGAUGGAAGUGGACGAAAAGAGGGGAUGCCUUCCGGGGCAUCCCCAAGCUUUGACUUUUUGGUGUCCUUGGAUUAUCUUGGGGGUGCCAUGGGCAUCCCCAAGCUUAGGCUCUUGCUACUCCUUGUUCCAUAAUCCAUCAAAGGAUUUCACCCAAAACUUGAAAACUUCACAACACAAAACUCAAAAUAGAAAACUCGUGAGCUCCGUUAGCGAAAGAAAACAAAGACCACUUCAAGGUACUGUAAUGAACUCAUUCUUUAUUUAUAUUGGUGUUAAACCUACUGUAUUCCAACUUCUCUAUGGAUUAUAA